UUUGUGUGUCCCUGCAGGGGCCAGGCUUGUGAAUAAAAAUAUACUCUUCCAACUACUCAAUCUCAGCCAUCGGCUUUUACUCUUCAAUGUCGAUUAAGGGUAUUCAAGGCCAGCUUCUUGAGCUCACUGUUGUCGGGUGCAGCAACUUGAAGGACACCGAGUUGUUUUCACGGCAGGCCCCGCACGUGUUGCUCGAAUAUGGUAGCACCAAGUUCCGCACCAGGACUUGCACUGAUGAUGAUAAGAAUCCGAUAUUCCAGGAGAAGUUUGUGUUUACGUUAAUAGAAGGUCUUCGGGAGAUAAAUGUCUCCGUUUGGAACACCAAUAGCCUUUCAUCCGACAUCUUCAUCGGCAGUGCAAAGGUUCAAUUGCAUAAGGUUCUUUCUCAGGGUCACGAUGACACUACUUGGCCUCUUCAGACUAAAGGUGGCAGAAAUGCAGGAGAAGUGCGAUCAAAAUUACAUUAUUCUAAUGCCCUAAAACCUGCAACAAGCUCUGCUUCAUCGGCGCCGCAUACGCCCCCUCCCUACGCACCUUGUGCCUCAACUCCAUCUCCCUACUCUCCAUACUCAGCUGCCUAUCCUCCUCCACCGCGGGCACCUGCAGCUCCGGUUUACCCACCUCAGUUUUCCUACUCACCUCAAUUUUCCUACACUUGGUACGCACCAAAUUCAACAGGGUAUCCACCAUCUCCAUAUUCAACUUCACCUCCAGCUGACUGUCCUCCCCCACCUUACCCACCAACAUCAACUUACCCAACCCCGGCACCUGCAACUCCUUACGCGCCUCCGGCCUAUCCAGAUCCAUCUCCCUACUGCUCCUACGACCCAGCUAAUUCAACAGGGUAUCCAUCAUUUCCAGCUGCCUAUCCUCCCCCACCUUACCCAUAAACAUCAGCUUAUACACAAACAGAUGAUGAUUUCACUGAUUAUGAUGAUUUCACUGAUAAUUGGUAACGGAUUUUGAUGGCUUUUUUCCUGUUAAUUACCAAACCUUUGUGUAAUGUUUAAUUUGGACGCCACUUUGUAAUUCCUAGGUAAAUUUCUUUGUGGAUGGCGUACGUAUGUACUUUACAAAGCGUAACCUCAAUGUCGAGUGAUCGGACGGUGGUGGUAAGCACCACGUACGUACAGUCCAAGAUCGAUUAUUACUCUGAGGCAAUUGAGGAUAUGGAGUGUAGGUGAAGGCAGAUUUCAAGACAGUCAUAUUGGACCUGCUGGAAAAGUAUACGUUGAAUGAAUGCUCCCAAGGUAAGUAUACAAACGCCCAACGAUGUCGUUUGUAUAACUU
Corylus avellana is the source of this 1290-nucleotide RNA transcript. RefSeq lists it as uncharacterized. The record is from RefSeq and is a predicted model, not a curated record. Lineage: Eukaryota; Viridiplantae; Streptophyta; Magnoliopsida; Fagales; Betulaceae.